GACGAACGCUGGCGGCGUGCUUAACACAUGCAAGUCGAACGGGAUCCGGGCUUUCGGGUUUGGUGAGAGUGGCGAACGGGUGAGUAACACGUGAGUAACCUGCCCCCUUCUUUGGGAUAACGUCGGGAAAUCGGCGCUAAUACUGGAUAUUCUUGCUGCAUCGCAUGGUGUGGUUUGGAAAGGGUUUCUGGUGGGGGAUGGGCUCGCGGCCUAUCAGCUUGUUGGUGGGGUGAUGGCCUACCAAGGCUUUGACGGGUAGCCGGCCUGGGAGGGUGUCCGGCCGCACUGGGACUGAGACACGGCCCAGACGCCUACGGGAGGCAGCAGUGGGGAAUAUGGGACAAUGGGCGCAAGCCUGAUGCAGCGACGCCGCGAGAGGGAUGACGGCCUUCGGGUUGUAAACCUCUUUCAGUAUGGAACAAGGAUCCUUCUUUUGGGGGGUUUGAGGGUACGUGCAGAAGAAGCGCCGGCUAACUACGUG
RNAcentral lists this ribosomal RNA (481 nucleotides) under uncultured bacterium. RNAcentral describes it as "partial 16S ribosomal RNA". It matches the Rfam family "Bacterial small subunit ribosomal RNA", at positions 28 to 507 of the family's 1533-position model. The record is from RNAcentral.